UUCUUCACCCGAGCCCGCACGAAAGCCGGCUUGUCCUGGGAAGGAGGCAGCUUAGCUUAGCAGAGGGGCCCUGGCUGACAGGACAGGGAGAGGGCGGCCCUCCUCGCGGCACAAACCGACGGACGUGAAUACAGAGAAGACUAGAGGAACCCAGGAGCUACCCUGCUGAGCUGGAACAGAGCCUUCAGGGCAGCCUCAUCUUCCACAAACUCUUCCUUCACGUCAGCAUCGAAGGUGAGGUAGGCCAGGCCCUCCACUGCCCAGCGCCGCGUGCCCGGGUCAAUCUGGUCAUUGCACAGCCACCUGGGGACACACGGGGUAGUGGGGAUCGGAACAGGGGCGUGUCCCCUCUAUACAUGAAGCAGCACACAUGGCAGGACUCAGGAGGGUCUGCCUGGGGCACAGCAGGGUAGAGAGGAGGCCCCGCCCUCCACCCACACUUUUCUCUCAAGGCCGAGUUGACAGUCUGGUUGGGAGCCACAGCGACCAAAUAACUCACUUUCGACACUGCUUGGCCAGUUUGAGAGUGGAGCCUUCAGCAAACUGCUUCAUGCUAAAGUCUGUCCCUCCAGCCGAGCCGAGCUUACACAGGCCCUGCAGGAAGAGGCAAAAACCAGAUGCUGGUCUCUAGGGAUGGAGGUGGGCUGGGCUCCUCCGCACCUGGCAUGGGCCCUCUCCCUGACAUGGUGCCGGGCCUUCUGCAGGCCACACACAGCCCUACCAGGCUACCACCUAGAGAUCUGGCAGCAAAUCAGCUACUGGGGGAGGGGGUCAGGUGACACACAUUGGGUAGAGACAGACAUCCUGGACCCCAACCCCCCAGAUCUGCACUGGGUUUGCUCUGUUUUUUUUCUGUGCCAUACAGAGAGCUCUUUGUGGGUGGAGCCAAGACCUGUGUGGGGAGAGGCCCAGUGCCUCGGGCAAGAGAAGAUCCUUCUGGGAUGGAGAGACCCAGGACUAAGUGCCCCAAGGAGAAGGACCAGCAUUCCCAAGGGCAUGGUUGCAGCAGGCUUACGGGGACCAACCAGGGCCCAAAGCUCCAGCUCCUGGGCUACCUGGAGGCUAAGCCUUUCGACAUGGCCCCUCUGACCAGCCUGGCCAACUAGCCUGGCCCAGCGGUCCUCCUGGAGCUUCUCCCACCACCUCCAGAGGUCAGCAAGUGCCGUUCUGCAUUCUCGGGGGUCCUGUCUGCACAAGGCUCAUCCCUAACUUGACCAUGAGCCCUGUGGUCAGGAGGAGCCAGGGCUCAUGCCUCUGGCUCUGACAUGGCCCUACACAUCCCAUACUGCACCUGGCUGUGCUGGAGCCGCACCCUCCCAUAGCGGCCCCCUUGCCUGCAGGCUGGCCUGCCCAGCCCGGGCCUGCCCGGCUCACCACCAGUGCCCGGAUGCGGAUGCUGUCCUUCUCACUGCGCUUGUACAGGUCCUUCAGCAGCGAGAUGCCGUUAGCCGUGAUGAACGAGGCCCGCUUGGCCUUGCCGGCCGCAUGGAUGAGAGCCUCCACGGCCACCAGCUGCUCCUCCUCCUGCUCAGAGGCGCACAGAGCGAUCACGCUCUCCAUGACGCCGCUCAGCUCCAGGGCCCGGUUGCCGGCUUCGCACGGGCCCUGCAGGAGGCAGGACACCGUCUGGAUAGCCCGCAGCUUCCCGGCCAGACCUUGGCCCUCGAACCAGCUCCUGAGGGGCACAAGGUGACAGCGGUCACACAAAGGCCAGCAUAAGGGGAUUCUCCUACCCCACCCCCUUUCUGUCCACCGGCCAGGCAUCUGCACGACUUGGGCAGGAACAGCAAAGAAAGCUGCCCCCGGGACGGCAAGCACAUGCCGCUGAGCACUGGCUGCCCAGCUUCUCUCGCUCGGCUCUCGGGCCUUCCCUGAUCAUGUAGCUGACCUAGGUCACUCUCGCUCACACCAUUUAGCUCCUUUCCUGCACGUAUGACAACCCAAAACUGCUCUGCUCCUAUCAGGAUUUGUCCUCAGUCCCACCUGGAACCUCCUUAAGGGCAGGACCGUCGUGCUGCACUGCAGUGUCCCAACGGACACCCCAAAGGGCUCAGUCCACACAGUGCGUGCCCGAGAGCAUUCGCUGUGGUGUAGAAUGGAGAAAGAACAUUCCCUGGGCAGGCCACUUUGGAAAAAGAAGUGGGCCUUGGGACCACUUUGGUCCCUGCAAGGCGUCCCUAAGGCUGCUCUCCUGAUUGAAACCCUUUCAUUGCUGGCCCUCCCCGAGGAGUGCGAACCGUCGGCACCCCCGGCAGUGGUCCGGGCCGGCUCCCUUACCUGAUGUAGUUCUCGCAGAACCGGUGGAAAUUCUCCCUCUCGGCGUCACACUUCAGGUCAUCAAAGAGCUUGUUGAGCAACACGGAGGCACUCAUGCGGCUGUUCGCGGUCACCGCGAGCUCUCCAGGAGGCCCCUGCACAGAGCCUCCCACCUCCAGAAUCUUCUUCAGGCCUGAAAAGAUACCCUGCUAUGAAAGGAGCAAAAGGCUGGCAAAGUGAGGAGGUUCCCUGGGAAGGGCACGGGCAAGCAGGGCCUCCCGGAGAGCGGGACAGCAUGGACAGUCGCAUGCAGGGCAGGCUCGGAGAGCCGGGGGGGGCUGCCGCCGCCUCCAGAAACAGUCAUGGUGUCAGGAAGGGUCCUCGGAAGUGAGGACCGCAUGCUGGCCCUGCCCAUGGGGCCAAGUGCUCUGGGGCUUUGAGGUUCCUCAUCUGUAACACUGAAGGGAAAGAUAACACCCGGGCCUCACAGCAUUAGGAGGAUACCAAAAGAUGAACACCCGAUAAACGUACUCAUGGA
Molecule: long non-coding RNA, 2794 nt
Organism: Mustela lutreola (European mink)
Lineage: Eukaryota; Metazoa; Chordata; Mammalia; Carnivora; Mustelidae
Exons: 2
Source: RefSeq, a predicted model, not a curated record